UACGUAGGGUGCAAGCGUUGUCCGGAAUUAUUGGGCGUAAAGAGCUCGUAGGCGGUCUGUCGCGUCUGCUGUGAAAACUCAGGGCUUAACCCUGAGCUUGCAGUGGGUACGGGCAGACUAGAGUGCGGUAGGGGAGACUGGAAUUCCUGGUGUAGCGGUGAAAUGCGCAGAUAUCAGGGAGGAACACCGGUGGGCGAAAGGCGGGGUCUCUGGGCCGUAACUGACGC
RNAcentral lists this ribosomal RNA (227 nucleotides) under uncultured bacterium. Its description in RNAcentral is "partial 16S ribosomal RNA". It matches the Rfam family "Bacterial small subunit ribosomal RNA", at positions 524 to 746 of the family's 1533-position model. The record is from RNAcentral.